RNAcentral lists this ribosomal RNA (671 nucleotides) under Alexandrium minutum. RNAcentral's name for it is "eukaryotic LSU rRNA". It matches the Rfam family "Eukaryotic large subunit ribosomal RNA", at positions 30 to 636 of the family's 3401-position model. The record is from RNAcentral. Lineage: Eukaryota; Dinophyceae; Gonyaulacales; Pyrocystaceae.
GUGAUAAGUAUAGUAGGCGUGGAAAUGCACCAAAUGGGAUUCUUAAGUAAUUGCCGAAUGAACAAGGAAAUGCUCAGCUUGAAAAAUGGGGCCUUUGGCUUUGAAUUGUAAUUUUGAAAUGUAUUGCCAAUGGAGGCGCAGGUGCAAGCCUAUUGAAAGAAAGCGUCAAUGAGGGUGAGAUUCCUUUUUGUCAUUUGCAGUCCUCCGUGCACGGUAUAUAUUUGACGAGUCACACUCCUCGGCAUUGGAAUGCAAAGUGGGUGGUAAAUUCCAUGUAAAGGUAAAUAUAUUAUUGAGACUGAUAGCAAACAAGUACCAUGAGGGAAAUAUGAAAAGGACUUUGAAAAGAGAAUUAAAAGAGUCUGCAUUUGCUGAACAGAAAGCAAACAGAAUUGAUUUUACUUGGUGAGAUUGUUGUGCUUACUCUAUCAUUUAUAUGGUUGAUGUGGGUGCGAUGGUUCUUACCUUGAAUGUCAGCUUCUAUUUCUGCAAAUCAUUACCCUUGCACAUGAAUGGUAAUUUGCCUGCGGGUAUUGGAAUGCAUGUGUUUGCAAUGAUUUGUGAUUUGACGCAUGUGUUUGGUGAAAUUUGUAUAUGCUCUUUUGUCGAAGGGGAAAGCUUACUUUUUUGAGCAUUGCAAGCCCUUACACAUCAGUGCUGGCAAAAUGUUC